GAAGAUGCUGAAAGAGAAUGUGAUGUAGAGAUUACUUCUGCUGACACAGUGAGACUCUGCCAGCUUCCUUUCUUCUGGUUUCUGACAUUGCUCAUCCCUAAUGGAGACUCCAGCAAAAGCAAAGAUCAGCGAUGACUAAAUUGAACUUUAYAUUACACCACAUG
Long non-coding RNA from Nothoprocta perdicaria, 164 nucleotides. RefSeq lists it as uncharacterized. The transcript is spliced from 2 exons. The record is from RefSeq and is a predicted model, not a curated record. Lineage: Eukaryota; Metazoa; Chordata; Aves; Tinamiformes; Tinamidae.